UUUUUUUUUUUUUUUUGUGCUGAUAGAGCAUGUACUGAGUUCAGUGAUCAAAGUCAUGAAAUAGACACACAGGUCAUUGUGUAUAAAUAUAGCUGUUAUUAUUUUGUAAUGUAGUUAUGACUACAGUAGUUACUACUCUGUGAUGGGGUUAUUACUCUGUGAUGACUCAAAAGCCUACUUAGACACUUGUAUGUAGUCUAUUAAGUUCAAAAUAACGAAUAUUUAUCACAGCACAUUGACGAAAUUCUGAUAGGUUCACAGACACAAAAGGUUAACAAUUGCUCGCAUACAAGCUAAUAACAUAGUCACUAUUUUGCUGUCACCUAUUAGUGUCAACAUUUAUAAAAUAACAGGUAUUAAUUUCAUAGUAUCAUAGAAUGUGUAGUCACUUACUGUAGGAGCAUAUGAAAACCAUAUCCACCUGAAGAUUGGGGAAAUAUACUUAAGAUGAUAGAAUAGAUAGCCCCUCUCAGUGAGCCUGUACUGGUGUGUUGGCAGUAUCUUUGUGUUUCUCCCAUACUUCCUCUUAGGAGUAGAUAAAAUCUUGUUCCUCCAGCUCUAAGUGAGGCCAGUGGCUGGGGCUUGCUUCUGUCACCAAUUCCUGUUUCAAAGUGGGCUCCCAGCAAUAUCUCUUAUGGCCCUCAUGCUCACCCCUCAUGGGGCAGUCCCCAGCCUUGUAUUAGUGAAUACACUUAGAAUCAAACACCAUUUGUUUCCUGUGUAAUAGAAGGAGGGAAUAAGAAAGUAAAUAUGUUAACAUUAAAUUCCAUUCGUUCUAAGAUUAUAGAUUAAAAUAAUAUAAAUGUAAGAGCUAACUGAAACCUCUUAGAAGAACACAUAGGAGUAAGUCUUUGUGAACUUAGACAGUUGUUUCUGAAAUAUAACAUGAAAAACAUAAGUAACAAAAUUAAAAAAAUGAAUCAGACUUCACCAAAACUAAAACUUUUUGUGCUUCAAAGAACACCACUGAGAAAAAGACAACCCACAAAAUGAGAGAAAAUACUUGCAAAUUACGUAUCUGAUAAGAGGUUUGUAUCCAGAGUAUAUUAAAAAAUUCUUACAACUCAACAACAAAAAGAUCAUCCCGUUAAAAAUUGGCCACAGAUUUGAGCAGACAUUUCUCCAAAGAAGUUAUACAAAUAGCCAAUAAACACAUGAGAAGACGCUCAAAAUCCUUAGCCAUUAGGGAAAUACAGAUCAAAAUCAUAAUGAAAUACCACUUCAUACCAACUACGAUAGCUAUAAUCAAAAAAUGGAAAAGAACAAGUGUUGGCAAGGAUAUGGAGGAAUUGAAACUUUCAUACCUUGCUGCUGGGAAUGUAAAAUGGUAUAACAGUUUGGCAGUUGCUCAAAAAGUUAAACAUAGUUACCAAAUGGCCAUUAAUUUCACUCCUAAGUAUUUACCCAGGAGAAUUGAAAACAUAUGUCUACACACAAACUUGUAUAUAAAUGUUUACAGCAGUAGUAUUAUUAUUUAGAAACAGCAUCUUGUUGUAUUGUCCAGUCUGGUCUUGAACUCCUAGUCUCAAGUGAUCCUUCUGCCUUGGCCUCUCAAAGUGCUGAGAUUACAGGUAUAAGCCACUGUGCCUGGCCUACAAUAGCAUUACUGAUAAUAGCUAAAAUAUGAAAAUUAUCCAAUAUCCAUCAACAGAUGGAUGGAUGUGAUACACACAAAAUGUGAUAGAUUCAUAAAGUAGAAUAUCAUUUGGACAGAAAAAAAUGAAAUUCUGAUACGUGCUAUAGCAUGGAUGACAUUUUGAAAACAUUAUGCUAAGUGACAGAAGCCAGACACAACAGGUCACAUUUUGUGUGAUU
Molecule: long non-coding RNA, 1815 nt
Filed under: Macaca fascicularis (crab-eating macaque)
Lineage: Eukaryota; Metazoa; Chordata; Mammalia; Primates; Cercopithecidae
Description: lncRNA (ENSMFAG00000052771.1)
Source: RNAcentral